CCUACGGGAGGCUGCAGUAGGGAAUCUUCCGCAAUGGACGCAAGUCUGACGGAGCAACGCCGCGUGAGUGAAGAAGGUCUUCGGAUCGUAAAGCUCUGUUGUUAGAGAAGAACAGCGCAUAGAGUAACUGUUAUGCGUGUGACGGUAUCUAACCAGAAAGCCACGGCUAACUACGUGCCAGCAGCCGCGGUAAUACGUAGGUGGCGAGCGUUGUCCGGAUUUAUUGGGCGUAAAGGGAGUGUAGGCGGUCUUUUAAGUCUGAUGUGAAAGCCCACGGCUCAACCGUGGAGGGUCAUUGGAAACUGGGAGACUUGAGUGCAGAAGAGGAGAGCGGAAUUCCAUGUGUAGCGGUGAAAUGCGUAGAUAUAUGGAGGAACACCAGUGGCGAAGGCGGCUCUCUGGUCUGUAACUGACGCUGAGGCUCGAAAGCGUGGGGAGCAAACAGGAUUAGAUACCCGGGUAGUC
This 465-nucleotide ribosomal RNA is filed under the name uncultured Abiotrophia sp. RNAcentral describes it as "bacterial SSU rRNA". It matches the Rfam family "Bacterial small subunit ribosomal RNA", at positions 338 to 795 of the family's 1533-position model. The record is from RNAcentral. Lineage: Bacteria; Bacillati; Bacillota; Bacilli; Lactobacillales; Aerococcaceae.